Molecule: ribosomal RNA, 731 nt
Filed under: uncultured prokaryote
Description: bacterial SSU rRNA
Rfam family: Bacterial small subunit ribosomal RNA
Source: RNAcentral
UAACUGACGNUGAGGCACGAAAGCGUGGGGAUCAAACAGGAUUAGAUACCCUGGUANNCCACNCCNUAAACGAUGAAUGCUAGCUGUUAGCGAUAUACUGUUAGCGGCACAGAGAAAUCGUUAAGCAUUCCACCUGGGGAGUACGCCGGCAACGGUGAAACUCAAAGGAAUUGACGGGGGCCCGCACAAGCGGAGGAACAUGUGGUUUAAUUCGAUGAUACGCGAGGAACCUUACCUGGGCUUAAAUUGCAGUGGAAUAACGUGGAAACAUGUUAGCCUUCGGGCCGCUGUGAAGGUGCUGCAUGGUUGUCGUCAGCUCGUGCCGUGAGGUGUCGGCUUAAGUGCCAUAACGAGCGCAACCCUCAUCGAUAGUUACUAACAGGUUAAGCUGAGGACUCUAUCGAGACUGCCAGCGUAAGCUGUGAGGAAGGUGUGGAUGACGUCAAAUCAGCACGGCCCUUACGUCCGGGGCGACACACGUGUUACAAUGGGAGGUACAAAGGGCAGCUACCUGGCGACAGGAUGCUAAUCUCUAAAACCUUUCUCAGUUCGGAUUGGAGUCUGCAACUCGACUCCAUGAAGCUGGAUUCGCUAGUAAUCGCGCAUCAGCCAUGGCGCGGUGAAUACGUUCCCGGGCCUUGUACACACCGCCCGUCAAGCCAUGGAAGCUGGGGGUACCUGAAGUAUGCAACCGCAAGGAGCGUCCUAGGGUAAAACCGGUAACUGGGGCU